UGAUGUCUACACACCUCACACAGUCGGAGUCCUCACAUCCGGACUCCUCAAAAACAAAAACAAACCUGCCAAAAUUAAUUGUUUACACUGGGAUUAUUUUGAGCCAAAAUGAAGCUUGUGGGACUUGGGCUGCGGGUUUUGAGACUUAAAACCAGCGGGCAGAGCCGCUCUGCGAAUACCUGUUCCCCUCCGGAAUUGCGAGAACCUCUGCCGUGCUGCCCAAAGAAACGCUUUUGGACCUUCAAAAGAGUGCUGUGCUUCUCCACGUUAACCUUUGGCGCCGGGGUUUACACGGGCAUCUACGUCUCGCAGAACUAUGAGGUCCCCCGCGUAGAUGAUCCGCAAAAGUUGAUCCAGCGUCUCAACGAAAAAGUGAAGGAACUGGUGGACCAAAGCAAGAACAAGUAACAGGCUUGGUAGUUUUGUAUAUGGGGAACGUAGCCGUCACUAAAUUCAAAUAAAUCUGAGCGAGCUUUUGUAAUUUAAAUUGUAUAAAAGUUAUCGCUAUCUGAAUCUGAGUCAAUUAAAUCUGCAAGUUUUUGGCAAAACUGAUUGAGGUUCUUCAGAGACAGUUAUUAAAGCUAUCGGAAUUACGCGAGUCAUGAUGGCAACCCUCGUUUUUUUUCAAAUUUGUGACCAUAUCGUAAAAAGCAUGCCACUUCGUUUACAAAUUAGCCAUUGAAACAAACACUUAAACUCAAACAAAAAAAAAGGUACAACAAAAUUCUAGUAGGUCGCCCGGCGAGAAGCUAGUGGAUGACAUCAAAAAGGAGGCCAAGAAGAUACUGGACGACUGACUGCCGCUAUAAGACCCCACGUUUAGUUUAAAGAAAUUUAUCUAUGAUCAAAUAAAGCAAUGCUACAUGUGUAAAAUUA
Molecule: RNA transcript, 876 nt
Organism: Drosophila biarmipes
Lineage: Eukaryota; Metazoa; Arthropoda; Insecta; Diptera; Drosophilidae
Exons: 4
Source: RefSeq, a predicted model, not a curated record